CCCUUAGAUGUCCUGGGCCGCACGCGCGUUACACUGAUGCAUUCAACGAGCUUAUAACCUUGGCCGAGAGGCCUGGGCAAUCUUGUUAACGUGCAUCGUGAUAGGGAUAGAUUAUUGAAAUUAUUAAUCUUGAACGAGGAAUUCCUAGUAAACGCAGAUCAUCAAUCUGCAUUGAUUACGUCCCUGCCCCUUGUACACACCGCCCGUCGCACCUACCGAUUGGAUGGUCCGGUGAAGCCUCGGGAUUGUGGUUCUUGCCGCUUUAUUGUGGCGUGACCGCGAGAACUUGUCUAAACCUUAUCAUCUAGAGGAAGGUGAAGUCGUAACA
This 328-nucleotide ribosomal RNA is filed under the name uncultured eukaryote. Its description in RNAcentral is "partial 18S ribosomal RNA". It matches the Rfam family "Eukaryotic small subunit ribosomal RNA", at positions 1470 to 1796 of the family's 1831-position model. The record is from RNAcentral.